This 488-nucleotide ribosomal RNA is filed under the name uncultured bacterium. RNAcentral's name for it is "partial 16S ribosomal RNA". It matches the Rfam family "Bacterial small subunit ribosomal RNA", at positions 28 to 507 of the family's 1533-position model. The record is from RNAcentral.
GACGAACGCUGGCGGCGUGCUUAACACAUGCAAGUCGAACGGAAAGGCCCUGCUUUUGUGGGGUGCUCGAGUGGCGAACGGGUGAGUAACACGUGAGUAACCUGCCCUUGACUUUGGGAUAACUUCAGGAAACUGGGGCUAAUACCGGAUAGGAGCUCCUGCUGCAUGGUGGGGGUUGGAAAGUUUCGGCGGUUGGGGAUGGACUCGCGGCUUAUCAGCUUGGUGGUGGGGUAGUGGCUCACCAAGGCGAUGACGGGUAGCUGGCCUGAGAGGGUGAUCGGCCACACUGGAACUGAGACACGGGCCAGACUACUACGGGAGGCAGCAGUGGGGAAUAUUGGACAAUGGGCGGAAGGCGGAGCCAGCCAUACCGCGUGGGUGAAGAAGGCCUGCGGGGUGGAAAGCACGGGGGUUGGGAAAGAAAAGCAGCAGGUGAAUACCCCGCGGUUCUGACGGGACCCAAAGAAGAAGCACCGGCUAACUUCGUG